GAUGAACGCUGGCGGCGUGCCUAAUACAUGCAAGUCGAACGAACAGACGAGGAGCUUGCUCCUCUGACGUUAGCGGCGGACGGGUGAGUAACACGUGGAUAACCUACCUAUAAGACUGGGAUAACUUCGGGAAACCGGAGCUAAUACCGGAUAAUAUAUUGAACCGCAUGGUUCAAUAGUGAAAGACGGUUUUGCUGUCACUUAUGGAUGGAUCCGCGCCGCAUUAGCUAGUUGGUAAGGUAACGGCUUACCAAGGCGACGAUGCGUAGCCGACCUGAGAGGGUGAUCGGCCACACUGGAACUGAGACACGGUCCAGACUCCUACGGGAGGCAGCAGUAGGGAAUCUUCCGCAAUGGGCGAAAGCCUGACGGAGCAACGCCGCGUGAGUGAUGAAGGUCUUCGGAUCGUAAAACUCUGUUAUUAGGGAAGAACAAAUGUGUAAGUAACUAUGCACGUCUUGACGGUACCUAAUCAGAAAGCCACGGCUAACUACGUG
This 497-nucleotide ribosomal RNA is filed under the name uncultured bacterium. RNAcentral's name for it is "partial 16S ribosomal RNA". It matches the Rfam family "Bacterial small subunit ribosomal RNA", at positions 28 to 507 of the family's 1533-position model. The record is from RNAcentral.